AUUAGAGGAGUCUGACAAUUAAAUAAGUGUAAUGACUGUCAUUCGAUCAACGUGCCACUCAGACCAUUGUAAUGACCACCAAAGAGCCAUCCAGACCACUGUAAUGUUCCCGUUCUUGAGACUUAAUAUCUUCUUUGCUGGCAAAAUUAUUUUGCAAGAACACUGUUGUCAGCUUCUUUCCUCAAAUUUAAUAUGAGCUCAUAAGUUGCCUCACACUUACUCAUUUUGGUAUCAGGUUUGACUUGAUUUGCUUACUGACACAGAAAAUGCGAAGAGGUGUCCAUAAUAUAUAUUAUAUUACCAAUCUCAUUGCAUUAGCUAGAAGUACCUGUCUAUA
This is a non-coding RNA of Pelobates cultripes (western spadefoot toad), 337 nucleotides long. The record is from the annotation of a GenBank genome assembly. Lineage: Eukaryota; Metazoa; Chordata; Amphibia; Anura; Pelobatidae.